CAAUAGCGUAUAUUGAAGUUGUCGCAGUUAAAAAGCUCGUAGUUGGAUCUCAGGGUGAGCUCAGUUGGUCGGCCUACUUGGUCAGAACUGGCUGUCUCUCCCUUGUUUCUGAAUCCCGGCCGGAGUUCACUCUUCGGUCGUGGACUUCAGAUCGUUUACCUUGAAAAAAUUAGAGUGUUCAAAGCGGGCGUUUGCUUGAAUACAUUAGCAUGGAAUAAUGGAAUAGGACCCUGGUUCUAUUUUGUUGGUUUUGAGGACCAGAGUAAUGAUUAAUAGGGAUAGUUGGGGGCAUUCAUAUUUAAUUGUCAGAGGUGAAAUUCUUGGAUUUAUGAAAGAUGAACUUCUGCGAAAGCAUUUGCCAAGGAUGUUUNCAUUAA
Molecule: ribosomal RNA, 377 nt
Filed under: uncultured eukaryote
Lineage: Eukaryota
Description: partial 18S ribosomal RNA
Rfam family: Eukaryotic small subunit ribosomal RNA
Source: RNAcentral